RNAcentral lists this ribosomal RNA (468 nucleotides) under uncultured bacterium. RNAcentral describes it as "partial 16S ribosomal RNA". It matches the Rfam family "Bacterial small subunit ribosomal RNA", at positions 28 to 507 of the family's 1533-position model. The record is from RNAcentral.
GACGAACGCUGGCGGCGUGCUUAACACAUGCAAGUCGAACGGAAAGGCCCUGCUUUUGUGGGGUGCUCGAGUGGCGAACGGGUGAGUAACACGUGAGUAACCUGCCCUUGACUUUGGGAUAACUUCAGGAAACUGGGGCUAAUACCGGAUAGGAGCUCCUGCUGCAUGUUGGGGGUUGGAAAGUUUCGGCGGUUGGGGAUGGACUCGCGGCUUAUCAGCUUGUUGGUGGGGUAGUGGCUUACCAAGGCUUUGACGGGUAGCCGGCCUGGGAGGGUGACCGGCCACAUGGGGACUGAGAGACGGACCAGACUGCUACGGGAGGCAGCAGUGGGGAAUAUUGCACAAUGGGCGGAAGCCUGAUGCAGCAACGCCGCGUGCGGGAUGACGGCCUUCGGGUUGUAAACCGCUUUCGCCUGUGACGAAGCGUGAGUGACGGUAAUGGGUAAAGAAGCACCGGCUAACUACGUG